AAACUCCGCAAUGGGCGAAAGCCCGACGGGGUUACCCCGAGUGCCACCCUCGUGGUGGCUUUUGCCCGCUCUAAAAAGGCGGGCGAAUAAGGGGAGGGCAAGUCGGGUGUCAGCCGCCGCGGUAAUACCCGCUCCCCGAGUGGUGGAGGCUAUUACUGGGCCUAAAGCGCCCGUAGCCGGCCCGGUGUGUCCCUCGUUAAAUCCACGGGCUUAACCCGUGGGCUGCGGGGGAUACUACCGGGCUUGGGGGUGGGAGAGGCGCCCGGUAUUCCCGGGGUAGGGGUAAAAUCCUCUGAUCCCGGGAGGACCAUCAGUGGCGAAGGCGGGCGCCAGAACACGCCCGACGGUGAGGGG
This 354-nucleotide ribosomal RNA is filed under the name uncultured archaeon. RNAcentral describes it as "bacterial SSU rRNA". It matches the Rfam family "Archaeal small subunit ribosomal RNA", at positions 345 to 704 of the family's 1478-position model. The record is from RNAcentral.